UUCCUACUGGGAUUUAACAGUGGGUGGCCAGUUAGUUCCCAGAAUGUCCAAGAAAAACAAACUUGUUAUUCUGAGUGAAAUUGCAGCCCAGCUUAGGCGAAACUGGGUCUGCUUUAAAUUAAACACAGCAUUUCUGAGAUUCUUUUCAUCUCCUUGCCACUGUGAGUUAGCGGAGACAUUACGUCACCUCAUCUUCCUGUUCUGAGGUGAGGAAACCAACAUGGUGUGAGCCUAGGACUGGACCAGCCCCUGGACUUGAGGCUUCCAGGGCUCUGAGCAGGUGCACAGAUACAGGCAGCUUGCUUGAGCAAGAAGAAUUCUUACGAAGAAGAAAAGGAAGAAGAAGGAGGAGGAGGACAAGAGGAGGAAGAGGGGGAGGAGAAGAAAAAGGCCUCCAAGAGCAGUGGAUUCGUAAUGCUGGCACCAAGACCCAGCAAUAACCCUGGAGGCAAACAACAACAACAAAAAGAUAUAUCUGGCCUUCUGGCUGGUAAUGAAUAGGUGAUCUGGGAGAGAAUAAGGCAAUACGCAGCAAAGGUUAUAUAAAGUUUAUUGGAAUAAACCAGAUAAGAAAUAUUCACCAAGAGAAGGGCAAACAAUAAAAAGGAGCUAUCUGCCUCACAGGUGAGUCAGAGGGAGGAAUGUCAGCACAG
Long non-coding RNA from Erinaceus europaeus (western European hedgehog), 653 nucleotides. RefSeq lists it as uncharacterized. The transcript is spliced from 3 exons. The record is from RefSeq and is a predicted model, not a curated record. Lineage: Eukaryota; Metazoa; Chordata; Mammalia; Eulipotyphla; Erinaceidae.